This 421-nucleotide ribosomal RNA is filed under the name uncultured Clostridium sp. RNAcentral's name for it is "bacterial SSU rRNA". It matches the Rfam family "Bacterial small subunit ribosomal RNA", at positions 355 to 794 of the family's 1533-position model. Lineage: Bacteria; Bacillati; Bacillota; Clostridia; Eubacteriales; Clostridiaceae. The record is from RNAcentral.
UGGGGAAUAUUGCACAAUGGGCGAAAGCCUGAUGCAGCAACGCCGCGUGAGUGAUGAAGGCCUUCGGGUCGUAAAACUCUGUCCUCAAGGAAGAUAAUGACGGUACUUGAGGAGGAAGCCCCGGCUAACUACGUGCCAGCAGCCGCGGUAAUACGUAGGGGGCUAGCGUUAUCCGGAUUUACUGGGCGUAAAGGGUGCGUAGGCGGUCUUUCAAGUCAGGAGUGAAAGGCUACGGCUCAACCGUAGUAAGCUCUUGAAACUGGGAGACUUGAGUGCAGGAGAGGAGAGUGGAAUUCCUAGUGUAGCGGUGAAAUGCGUAGAUAUUAGGAGGAACACCAGUUGCGAAGGCGGCUCUCUGGACUGUAACUGACGCUGAGGCACGAAAGCGUGGGGAGCAAACAGGAUUAGAUACCCUGGUAGU